This is a non-coding RNA of Schistosoma margrebowiei, 45 nucleotides long. NCBI's taxonomy places the organism in Eukaryota, Metazoa, Platyhelminthes, Trematoda, Strigeidida, Schistosomatidae. The record is from Rfam.
AUCCGGUUAAUGAGUCCUGAAUAGAACGAAACGCUCGUCUCGGAU